This is a long non-coding RNA of Megachile rotundata (alfalfa leafcutting bee), 1457 nucleotides long. RefSeq lists it as uncharacterized. The record is from RefSeq and is a predicted model, not a curated record. Lineage: Eukaryota; Metazoa; Arthropoda; Insecta; Hymenoptera; Megachilidae.
UGACUCUACUUUACUGUGCACUGAAGCCUCUGUUAUCCGUUAUUUUGCGCAAUUUAACUGUACUAUGUGUGAUCUUUCUUGUAUAACAAAUACAUAUACGGAUGUGUGUGGGUAUCAAACGUGCAUACGCAGACGUCAUUUAACAGGAACGCGUGCACGAGGGUUAGACGUGUGCGCUCCCUUGGAGCGCAGUUCCGUCUGCUGCCAACUCACGGUAUAUCGACGAUGCAACGUUCCGGCUGUGCCUUUCGUAACCUUUUUCCCCCCUUACUUCGAAGACUUUUCCAGAAGAAAAUUACACUAUAAAUUCCCUUCGAGAAUUUAUGCGCCUAUCUGAUUCGAAUAAUGUCCAUCUUGCAAAAUUAAUAAUGACUGGUCAAAGAUAAUAACUGAGGCUGAAAGUAUUAGAAUUUUUUAUCGACUUUGUAUCUAUUAUAAACGAUGCUAGGUGAUAAAGUGGAACGAGUUAUUUGUCUCAACAAUUUAUUAGCGAUCUCCUUCGCUCAAUUGAACAGUGGACAAAACAAAGAUCAACGACGCUGAUUCACACGAUCAAGGAAAAAGUAAAUGCUCGUUUAUCUUAACAACAGAGGCGCUUCCUGCAUGUCGAGAUAACGACUAAUUGUCAUGCAAAUUAGAAAUGCUGAUUUAGUAGUAAAACAAAUCAUCCUUUAUAAGAAUACUAAAGAGAUCGCAGAUUCGCGUGGGAGUCACGUGAUUAACAGUUAUACACGCAAUUCCAUGACGAUAUAAUCUUUAGAAUGCCGCAUCAAAGAAUUAUGUAAUCAUUAAUCGCGCUUCACUUCAUUUUACGACUAAUUUUGUAAAUCUUAAUGGCAUUGGCGUAACUAGCAAUUUUACCUAGAUCUACUCGAGAAAUGACAUUAAUUACGUUGAAGUCACAAAACGAAACUUGGAAAGUAUUAUUGCACCUGUUCUCGAGUCUAUUUAUUACGGCCCAAUUAUCAAGCACGUAAAUUGGACAGCAGUUUUCACAAAUGUCCAGUGACAGGGAAGGGAGGUCAUCAGAGCGGGCCAUUGCGAUUUUCGCAAUGAGGCAACUUUCUAAGAUACCCGAUCGUUAUCUGCAACUGGAAGUGUCGCUAGAGUCAUCGAAGGGAAACGGAACAUAGCCGACGAGAUAUCCAUUUCGUACACGGAUUACGAUCUACCUGGUGUCUUCGCGACCACAAUUCUUCCGCGCAACCGUUCACACGCGAUCAACCGUGUGAUGAAGCGGAAGAAGGGGCGAUUAAGGUCGCGAGCACAGUUGAAAGAAGGGGCAGCAGGACGAAUUGUGGAACAGAAGGGACGAAAGGUGGGCAUAGGAGAGGAGAAGCGGGCAGCAGGUGCGUGAGAAAGCUUUUGAAUACCCACAUUGUCCAGUGUACAAAUGCACCGUGCAACAGAGGAUGGACAGGAUCUUCAGAAUGUUCUGUCUCAUGGCGAUCCAAGGA